This is a non-coding RNA of Pseudonaja textilis, 4098 nucleotides long. The record is from RefSeq and is a predicted model, not a curated record. Lineage: Eukaryota; Metazoa; Chordata; Lepidosauria; Squamata; Elapidae.
UGCUGUUUCUAAGAAACCAGCCAUAUUUUUAAGAUUUCAGUGGCAAAAGGAAAACUGUAGUCUUUUGGUACUUUGACUAUCUAUUUGGCAACUUUUCCUGGCAUCCAAAACAUCCAGAUUAGGGUACACUAAAUUAUCAUGGGCCUACCCUUCAUUUCAGACCUUUUCCUAAUAUGAAAUUAGCUUCUCUUCAUAAUCGAUGUACAGUUUUUGGAUUUUCAUUAAGCUAUCAGGAUUACCUUAGGAUAAUUUUUCCACUUAGAUCUUAUCAGAUUCUGUAACUCUGUUACAAAAGUAUUUUUAAUCAUUACUUUUGCUUUAUGCCCCCUGGUCAUUUUUUAGCUCAUUACAGCUACAUUUUUUCUCUCCUGAAUUUUUUGGUAUUACCUAAAAACUCAAGCAAUUUACUCUUCAGCCAUAACUAAUCGGGGAAACAAAUGCAGAUUAUAUAAAAACAUAUUAAAAAGUGCAAACUCUGGGGAGUUCCUUUAUUUACAUUUGUCAAAUUUGUUUAUACUUACUGUCUACUUCCUGCUCUUUUACCGAAUAUUAAUCCACUAAUGGGAUCUUACUUGUGAUUAUUGACUUUUUCAGCCCUUCAUUUUUAUGUACAGAAGAUCUUUGCUACCAGAUGCUGAUGCUUUUCAACACUCCAAAUAUUAGUAAAUUGAACUUUUCUCGUCAGAAACCAUGUUUAUUCUUCCUCAGCAAUUUUUUAUUAUUGUAGGUAGUAGUGCAAGCUUUCAUAAUUAACUGGAAGAAAUGUUAGGGAAAUACAUUUAUCUUCUGGCCUUUUUUUUAAUACAAUGAUGUUACUUUGGCUAUCUUUUCAUAUUCGACUAAGGAGACUAAGUUCAAUAAUGAUUUGCUGUGUCACUAAAGUUUUAUUGUGAUGGAUCAGUGGAAUAAUAGCCCCUGCCUUCCAACCCCAAUAGCAUCCAAUCCUUUCUGACUUCAAUUUCUGUUGAAACCUUGACUUAGAGCCAAAACCAUUGCAACUGAAUUAUUCAUUUCCAUCAUCAUUCUAUCUUUCAAGUAAUGAGUAUUCGUUUUCUGUGAUUGUCCUCUUAGCAGCAUCUCAAAUUUACACUAUAACAUAUCAAAGGGGGAGUUCUAGAACUAGAAUGGAGUUACUGGUUCCCACUGAGUUUUAUAGAACACAAGUGAAGGGUCAAACCAUGAAUCUUAUCUCAUAUAUUAAAAUAAUUAAUAGCAGAUUUGUCCCCACCCUUUCACAAUGGUGCCUCAGAAUUGUUUCCUCUUUCUCUUAGGGGGCAGAAUUAUGAGUAUAGUAAUAUUCAUGUGCCUGAAUUCUCCAGAAUCCUUCAGCAGGGACAUUUUAGCAUAAAACAUGCAAAAACACAUUUCAUACUUGCAGCCCUAGAUUCCUGCAUUGUAGUUAAUUUAUUUUUAAAUUAUUAACAUGAUUUAUAUACCAUUCUAAAAGCUUUGAACUGUGUUCCAAAAAAAAUCUGAUAUAAAAGCUACUUUCUAUUUGUACACUGUCAUAACAAUGACAAUCCUUGAGCAGAAAGUACAUCAAUGGCCCAAUUAAAAAGAAAGGUCUUGGGAGAUUCCCUAAACACCAAGAGUGAGAAAGUCAAGCAUAUCUCCAAGCGUAGCCCAUUCAACAGGAUGGAGCCUGCCUUCUGACCCAUACCUAUCUGUCUUCAUAUGGGUUGUGAUCUUAAGGAGGAGCUCUUUGAUCUGAUGAACAAAGAAAAGAAUUUUGGAUAAGGAGGUCCCUGAGACAGCCCAUUGAACCACUGGAUUAAGAGCCUCUUACUAAUAACAAAUUACAAACAUGGGGCUGAUCAGAAGAUCGAUAGAAAAUUUGUAAAAGGUUAAGCAUAAUAAUUGCAUAUAAAGCUGUAUAAAAAGCUUUUUUCUAGGCUCCAAAGUUCUGAAGGAGUACUAUGAUUUUUGGCCAGUUUCCCAUAAUUGUAUAACAACCUUCCCCUUAGUUUAGCAGAACUUCAUCAAUGGAAUAUAGCAAUGUUGACAAAAAUUUAAACUGAUUCAGCCACCUCACUCAAGCUAAGCAAUACUCACCUGAUUGAAGAAGAAAGCCUUCCCUUUAGGCUAACAUAAGAGUGAAACUGUUGCUUCAUCUACUUUUACUUUUCAUCCAUAUAGUUACUAGUGCAAGAUGGAUCUACCUAUCUGAUAUAAAAUAAUCCAGUCUUUUUUUGGCUCAACUCAUUUCUCUUAUCUAAAAUACUAUGUGUGUUUGGUUGCAUCCUUAUGAGUGCAACUGAUGGGACCUGAGAUCCAAAAGCCCUAAGAGUUCAACCAUUAAAUGGGACAUUUAUAUCCUUGACCUUUUUGGUAGGGGAUAAUAGGUCAUAGUUCUGGAGAUGCUAGAUUGGGUAAAUCUGAAAAGUUCUGCAUAAUCCUUUCUAAACUGAACAGGAAUAUCAGUGAGUAGAAUUUUCUUGGCUAUAUGUGACAUCUAUAGCAGCAUCUGAAAUUCUCUUUCUGUGAAAGUCCUUUUCCUUCCCUUUCCCUUUCUGAUAUUUGUGAUGAUGAUACUGGAAUAUUGGUAAGUAUUUUCUUAAGUAGAACUACAGAAGAAUUUAUACAUGACUACUCAUGUGGAAUUCAAGUAGAAAGCCAAACUGAGCAUUUUCUUUCAACAGAAAGCUCAUGCAAAACAAAUUUGCACUGAAGUGUGCUUUUUUGAAAGGGUACUUGGGUGAAGUGCAAGGAAUAUGAACAACACUUCUAACAGCUGAAAGGAUGAAACUCGGUUGUAAACCCCACUAAUACACGCAAGGUUAAAAUAGAAGGUGGGAACAUCCUUGAUUUUGAAAGAAGUUGAGGUGAGAUUUCUGAGUGGGUGAUUAUAAGCUUAGCGGGCCAUGCUCUAGCUGGCCCAUUAAAUUGCACUACAGGUGUUACUGGUUCUUUUAUCUCAUCCUCAGAUUAUAAAUCCUAGGACAUAGAGACAUCAUUUUUAAAAAAUUGAAUUAAGAUGAGUUAAUGAUGUGACUCAUGCUGACUUGUGGGAGUGAAUCAGCUGUCACUCAACACAUAGUCACCCCAAAAUAAUACCCUGCCAAACAUUGAGGUGUACAGCUUCAUUUCAGAAAGGAAAGCCCAUGUGCCUGUGUAACACAACAUACAUUAUUCAUCUUAUCUUUUGAUAUCAGGUAUUGCAGCUUUUAGAAGCCAUUAAAAAUGCCCAGGCAGUGUGCAUUUUCUGUCAGUUGUAUUUUUGGGUACAAACCACAGGACCAUUUUUCAUAUUCCAUCAGUAGGCCAUUUUGCUUGCUUGCAGUAUUACUUUUAACAGCCAAUGAUGUGCGUUUAUUUUGAACCUGGUGGAGCUGAAAUUUUUUGUAAGAAUAUAAAGAAUGAAACUGAAGCAUUUAGUCUGUCUUAACUAUACUGUUUUCAGUGCUUUUUCACCAAUGUGGUAGGACAGUAUUUUCUGCAGGCUCCAUUACUGUGCAAAUUAUCUGGUACUCAAAUUUCACAGCCCGUGCUAAUCCCACCUUUGAGGCAUGGUACCAGGGAGGGGUAAGACUGGCAGCACGCAUGAGUUGCAGGAGACGUGGCCAUGAAGUCCCUUCAUCUCUGUCAAGGUUCAUUUUUAGAAACUGGUGUUUAAGCUAAAAGUGAUGUGUGGGUGUUUCUCUGUGUGUUUGUGUGAGAGAGACAUAGAUUAUUUUCCAAGGUAAAAGGCACUAUGUCUUUCUGUUAGAAUGACUGAAAGACACUUCUCUGACUUCCACAUUGUAUCCUGCAGGAUUGAAACCACACACAGCCAUUUAGGUAAAUUAAGAGAUUUUGGCAGGGAUAAUAUUUUUUCCUUCUUUCUCUCCCCCCCCCCCCCAUGCAAUACAUUUGAUAUGAUUGAAAAGAAUUUUAAGAGCUUAUAAGUAAUAUAUUUUAAUUAAUAUAUAUUUUAAUACCUCUAUUUCAAGAAUGAUAAAAGAUUUGUGAAAUUGGUGUAUGUAUGUGUAUGUGCGCAAUUUUGAACGUGUUUCCCCCCCAUUAGGGGACCUGGUAAGCACCCCAGGUUGCAAUAAAAAUUGAAGAACUGUUAAAAAAAAGGUGUCCCAGGAACUGUUUCAUUUUUAUAAGCCAAGAAGU